AUAUUGGCGAGAGACCGAUAGCGAACAAGUACCGUGAGGGAAAGAUGAAAAGAACUUUGGAAAGAGAGUUAAACAGUACGUGAAAUUGCUUAAAGGGAAACGCUUGAAGUCAGUCGCGUUGUCUGGGAUUCAGCCUUGCAUUUAUGUCUGGUGUAUUUCCUAGUUAACGGGUCAACAUCAGUUUCGAUUGCUGGAAAAAGGUGUAAGAAAUGUGGCAUCAUUCGUGGUGUGUUAUAGUCUUGCAUUGUAUACAGCGGUUGGGACUGAGGAACUCAGCACACCUUUAUGGUCGGGAUUCGUCCACGUAAUGUGCUUAGGAUGUUGGCAUAAUGGCUUUAAUCGACCCGUCUUGAAACACGGAC
RNAcentral lists this ribosomal RNA (362 nucleotides) under uncultured fungus. RNAcentral describes it as "LSU rRNA". It matches the Rfam family "Eukaryotic large subunit ribosomal RNA", at positions 320 to 666 of the family's 3401-position model. Lineage: Eukaryota; Fungi. The record is from RNAcentral.